Macrobrachium nipponense is the source of this 629-nucleotide long non-coding RNA. RefSeq lists it as uncharacterized. The record is from RefSeq and is a predicted model, not a curated record. NCBI's taxonomy places the organism in Eukaryota, Metazoa, Arthropoda, Malacostraca, Decapoda, Palaemonidae. The transcript is spliced from 3 exons.
GACUGUUUUAGCAGUAUCACUAUUUUAGUGGCAUUAUUAUUAUGAGGACGAUAGUUAAAAACAUGAGUUUGAAGUAAGUUUUCGUAUAUAAUGUGUUAUUUUAAUUAAAGUUCAAGCAGGAUAACAGUAAAUGCGACAAUGGCCAGAUACAUCGUGGAUGCUUCUCCAUGUGAAGAGGCCCCAAUCAAUGUACACAUACAAGGCGAAGCUCAUCUUGCCUCAGACAGAGGGAGGAUGCUUCGUUAUUCACAGUAAUUGACGGAAAAGGGAAAUCGCAUAACGCGUCAUCCCGUUCCCAGCCCAGUUCUCUGUCAGAUUGUGGCUUUUGCGUAGUAUUCGGUGGAUGUAAUAUUCAGGAAGAUGAUGCCACUUUGGCUUCGCUGUGGGAAAAGAGAAAACGUUAGAAGUGAGAGAAGACUGGCAUAAUGAUCCUUGCUAUUUCGACAUUGUCACUUCUUUCUGGUGAUGGUGAUAUUGCUGUCAUUGUCAAGUAAAGUAACAAGAGCAGACAUCUUCUUGCAACAGGGAUUGUCUGCCUUUUCAUUUGUUCACUUUGAUCACCUCCCACACAGCUGUCCGCUUCUUGAAUUAGACUUGGCCCAGAUUUCCCUUCCCAUUCGAGAUCAGAU